AGAGGGAUCCCCCAACCUGCUUGGCCAAACAUGUUGGAAAGGGGCUUUGGAUGUUGGAGUUCUUAGAAAUGUCAAAUUCUUAGAUCUCACCGGUAAGUUUGUUGAGCCAUGGAUUGAGUGAGAAAAGCAUUCAAUUGGUCAUUUAAUGAGAGAGUAAUUUGUAAGGAUCAUGCACAUAUAUACUUAGUCUUACAUUAGCUAUACACUGGAUAGAUCUUAAAUACUUAUAUAGAU
This 234-nucleotide long non-coding RNA is filed under the name Elaeis guineensis (African oil palm). RNAcentral's name for it is "long non-coding RNA (EGUI_LNC027373)". Lineage: Eukaryota; Viridiplantae; Streptophyta; Magnoliopsida; Arecales; Arecaceae. The record is from RNAcentral.